GAUGAACGCUGGCGGCGUGCUUAACACAUGCAAGUCGAACGAGGUCCAUGGAGCUUGCUCCGGAAGACCUAGUGGCGAACGGGUGCGUAACACGUGAGAAACCUGCCCCGGACUCUGGGAUAACAGUUGGAAACGACUGCUAAUACCGGAUACCUCCGCCGAGUCGCAUGGCUCGGCGAAGAAAGGUCCGCCGGUCUGGGAGGGUCUCGCGGCCUAUCAGCUAGUUGGAGAGGUAACGGCUCACCAAGGCAUCGACGGGUAGCUGGUCUGAGAGGAUGAUCAGCCACACUGGAACUGAGACACGGUCCAGACUCCUACGGGAGGCAGCAGUGGGGAAUCUUGCACAAUGGGCGCAAGCCUGAUGCAGCAACGCCGCGUGCGGGAAGACGGCCCUAGGGUUGUAAACCGCUUUCAGGAGGGAAGAAAAUGACGGUACCUCCAGAAGAAGGUGCGGCCAACUACG
Molecule: ribosomal RNA, 463 nt
Filed under: uncultured Acidimicrobiales bacterium
Lineage: Bacteria; Bacillati; Actinomycetota; Acidimicrobiia; Acidimicrobiales
Description: bacterial SSU rRNA
Rfam family: Bacterial small subunit ribosomal RNA
Source: RNAcentral